AUCAGUAAUAAUUGCUGAGCAACAGUUUUUCAUGAUCUGUUUAGCGAACAGACUUAAAACUGUUUCAUCCGUUUUGUCAUAACAAAAGCUUUUUCAAUCAAUUAUUUUUAUUUAAAUUAAUAUAGACGAAACCGAGCCAGCAUGAUGAUAUCAAUAAGCAGAAAUUCUUCAUGUCAUAACGAGUGCAAAAUAUUCACAAAGUAUGCGCUAAUUGAUCAGAAACAUUGGGCAUCUCUGCCAAAUUGUUUCGAGAAAAUUAUCGGAGAUCCAAAAAUCUGAAUUGAGUAUACUGCUAUAUAAAAUUCUUACAUAACGGUGCAACUGUAUAGAAAAAAAGCCAUUAAAAUACUACUUUGCGUUUUAAGGAAAGGAAAAAAUUUCAAACACGAAAACUUACCUGUACAUUAUUUCGACACAAAAUAAUAUCCAACAUUCAUUGUUUUUAAAAUAGAUAGUUAUUAUUGGAGAGAAUGCGUAUUUUCGCAAUAAUUGAUUAUAAUAGUAAUAAAACCUGCUUAACGACUAUCAGUUAAAGGUUGAAAUUGCAUUUAUUUGUGGAAAAUAAAAAUAACAUCUAUUUGAAAAACAAAAGUUUUCUGUCUCAGGGUACAAACUUUGAGAGUUGAGAGCCAGAGUAUAUGAAAAUAUUUUCCAUCAAUAAUUUGAACUUCAUAUAAAAUAUAGUUGGACAUAUAGUUUAAAGUUUUUCCAUAUUUGUCAUGGUUUUGCAGAAAAAUGCUUGGUCUUCAGUUAAACAAUACAAUAUCCUCAAGUUAUUUACUGCGCAGUUUAUUUAGGUGCCUAUAUGAGUCUCUUUUUUGUAUAUUUUACGCUCCUUUCCAAUCAGGGAGAUUGCUAAGGGACGGGACCAAUUCCAGCCACGGACUGCACCAUACCCGUACAGCUGGUGGUGAACGACAGGGAUCGGCGGGCCUGACCCAGCAUCUCGAAAAAACUUAUCAGGAGUUACCAGGCCCGGGAUGCGAGCCCGAGUCUUCCUGUGGGGCACACCAACUGCGUUAACCACUCGGCAUCCGGUCGCGCCUAUAUGAGUUUUUCAUUAUCAACAGAUAAUGCCACUUUUCUGGAAGAAUACUACAUAAAAUAUAAUAUAAACGUUUUAUUAAUUAUUUAAAAAACAGCAGAUUUUUUUAAAAUACAGUAGAUAACAAUAACAAUAUCAUCGAGUAGGUUGGCCGGAUCGGCCGCAUUGAAACGCUUCACCUUUCCACUCUGAAGGACGGGUUCGAGUCUCGGGUCCCACCCCAUGAAAAUAUUUAUCAUGGGGUCCGGACUCGGCCCAUCGAUUCCUGCA
RNAcentral lists this long non-coding RNA (1315 nucleotides) under Androctonus crassicauda. The record is from RNAcentral. Lineage: Eukaryota; Metazoa; Arthropoda; Arachnida; Scorpiones; Buthidae.